Bombyx mori (domestic silkworm) is the source of this 63-nucleotide non-coding RNA. The record is from Rfam. Lineage: Eukaryota; Metazoa; Arthropoda; Insecta; Lepidoptera; Bombycidae.
ACAACAUUAGGACCGUCGGUCUACCGAGCAAACCCGCUCGGUGGAAGAUCUUCCUUUCGUCGU